This 514-nucleotide ribosomal RNA is filed under the name uncultured bacterium. RNAcentral's name for it is "partial 16S ribosomal RNA". It matches the Rfam family "Bacterial small subunit ribosomal RNA", at positions 28 to 523 of the family's 1533-position model. The record is from RNAcentral.
GACGAACGCUGGCGGCGUGCCUAAUACAUGCAAGUCGAGCGGAUGAAAGAGGAGCUUGCUCCUCUAGAUUCAGCGGCGGACGGGUGAGUAACACGUGGGCAACCUGCCCUGUAGAUUGGGAUAACUCCGGGAAACCGGGGCUAAUACCGAAUAAUCCUUCGGACCUCAUGGUCCGAUGUUGAAAGACGGUUUCGACUGUCACUACAGGAUGGGCCCGCGGCGCAUUAGCUAGUUGGUGAGGUAACGGCUCACCAAGGCCACGAUGCGUAGCCGACCUGUGAGGGGGAUCGGCCACACUGGGACUGAGACACGGCCCAGACUCCUACGGGAGGCAGCAGUAGGGAAUCUUCCACAAUGGACGAAAGUCUGAUGGAGCAACGCCGCGUGAGUGAUGAAGGUUCUCGGAUCGUAAAACUCUGUUGUGAGGGAAGAACAAGUACCGGAGUAACUGCCGGUGCCUUGACGGUACCUCAUUAGAAAGCCACGGCUAACUACGUGCCAGCAGCCGCGGUAA